GGGACUGGGUUCCUUCUCACUUCCGCAAUCGAGAUGUGAGAUCGAUGAACAAAUCCUCGCUGCAGGGAAUAGUCACACCGCCCAUUGGAUGGUCGAAGCCAAAUUCUUCCUCAGAUUGACUAAGCAAGUUUUGAAAUAAAGGUUCGCUCAAGAAUGAUAUGGGGAUCACAAAUCUCUUUUUCUGCAUCUCCCCAACAUACACAGCAAAAUGACCCUUGGGAAUAUCUCUAGUUGCAGAAGACUUCUUGAUCAUACGAAGAAUAGCCAUGAUCUCUUAGUUUUAGUAUAGAUGAGAAAAAAAGAAGGAUUGUAAGGUUACUCAAAAGCAGAGAAAGCUUUGAUGUUUGCUGAGUGUUGUGGUGGUCGAUACCUCUUUAGUUAUGUUUAUAUAGGAAAUGGCAACUCAUGUUGAUGUGUGUUGAAUAGGAAUGUGUGGGUACCAGCAGAAGACAAUGGCACUGUAGUAUCACAUGCUCUUGCCUUCCAAGUAUUGAAAACUUUGUGGUGUUGGUUAAAGAACAAUAGGCCCUACCUUAUUUUGAAACUUGGAAAGAGCCAUUUGGAUUGGACAUCAGUUAAAGUCUUAAAGACAAUGAUAUAUUAGUAAUCACGUGGUCCUGCCUUCCAGCUAGUUGACAUGAUUAAUUGCUUUAGCAAUAGGUCCUCACAUAUUUUCCUAUAGGGAACAAAGGAUCUCUAAGAAUCAAAUCCAUAAAUAUUGCUGGUAGCUUAUGAGGAUAUCUAGGAAUUAACCAUACCCCAGAUGCAAACUUUGUGUCCACUUAUAUAAAAAGGAUAAGAGAUAAAAAGUUGGCUUAUUAAAAUUCAGAGCCAGAGGGAGUAUUAUAUAUGCAAAGAACAAUCCAUUGACCAUUGGUUAAAUAGUUGGCUCCCUAAGUACAUAAUCUUGUUUGCUAUCUUUUACAAGUACAUUGGUUUCUUCAUAAACAAAGAUAAAUAAGUUGGGAUCUUCCUCCAUAAAUAGCUUCCCAUCUCUAUAUCCCAAACACAACCAUUUGUACUUUUUUAGUAGCAUUAAGCUCUCAAAUUUCUUCAAGAAAACAUACAAAAAUGGCCCUCAGAAAAUCAAACAAGUUAUCACAAGCUGCAGUUUUGAAGCAAAUUAUGAAUAGGUAUUCAAAUUUGGGUAUGCUGAGAUUUAUAUUUGCUAAUGAGUCCAACCAAAUGAUCCCUAAGAGAAACAAUCAUUCAAGUAAAUGAAUUAUAAGGAAAUUCAUGAGAAACCAAAAAUGGCCGAUAAUGCGAAGGACAAAAUAGACCUGAUCAGUUACAUCAGGUGCUUUGCUCGCCACAAUCGGAAUAAACUUCUUGUCAACAUGUUGGAGAACUUUGGCACCCUCCGGGCAGUUUUUAUCAAUGGUAUCAGGAACCAAUGAAUCGCCAACAAAAUGCAAGACGCCAGAAGUGACAUUGAGUAUAGUAUCUAGAUUCUUAUGAUUCUCUGUUCCAGAACUGCUCUGCAUCUCAUACUGGAAAAGGUAAAAGUUCAUCAUCUUGUCCAUAUAGCUAAGGUACUCAACUGUAAUCUAUGGACGGAAGUCCCUCCAUUUUGUCCCAGAAUCCAAGAAACUUUGAAUAAACAUAAGCAAGAUCCCUACAAAGCUAAUGAAGGCUGUGGAAGCUUACUGUAGGAGCUAUAUAUGGGAUUAAUGUGAUAACCAAGAAGGCCUUGGUGUCCUGGGAGAGAGUUUGUACCCCUAAAUCCAUAGGUGGACUAAAUCUCAUCAAUCUCAACUUAUGAAAUAGAGCGGCAAUUGCAAAAAAUCACUGGGACCUUGCUCACAAGUUGGAUAAGCUACGGAUAAGGUGGAUCCACUCUUAUUAUAUAAAAUAUCAGCAUAUCAAUACUAUGCCUAUUCCACAACAAGCUUCCUGGUUGGUAAGGAAGAUAAUUUAAGCAAGGACUGUGAUAGACCAGAGUCAAAUAGUUCCCAAAGGAACUAGCAGUAUCAUCAGGCAAAUGUAUAUCCAGCUUAUUGGCCAACAACCAAGAAUCGAAUGGAAAUGUUUUAUGUUUAAAAAUGACCCAAGUGGCAAAGCCAUAUUCACUAUGUGGCUGCAGUUUCAGAAUAGAUUACUCACCGGCUAUAAACUGUCGAGUUGGGGAAUGGAUGUGGGAAACACUUGUGUAUUUUGCCAGGGACAUGAUGAAAGUAGAGAUCAUUUGUUUGCUGAAUGUUCCUUCAGGAGAAAUGUAUGGAGCAGGCUAUUGAUGUGGCUACACGGUCGACCACACAAAGCAAUGACGUGGCAGCAACACUUCACUUGGGCAAUGAGGAAUGCAAAAGGUAGACCGUAGAAGCAAGGAUUUUUAGAGUGGUUUAUGCUGAGAUAAUCCAUGGAGUAUGGGGGGGAAGAAACAUGCGCAUAUUUCAGAAAAUAACUAAAAGACCUGAAGAUAUUGCUAGGCACAUAGCUUACACCUGUAAUGUUCGAGCCAAGAUAGAGGCCAAAGCCUUUCUACAAAAUUGUAGGUUCUGAGACAUGAUGAUACAUCAAUGCUAUAGAGAAGAGUGUUCGUAGAUCAUAGGGGGACUAGGUUCCUAGGGAAUAGAGCUAGAAGUUUUUUUUUUAGUUUUUUUUCCUUUCCUGACACAGCAAGCUGAGUUGCAAUGCUGUGGUUUUGUAAAGUUUUACUUGGUGAUUAAUAAAAUAUUAAAUCCCUUAAUUACCAAAAAAAAGAUGUAAUCUGAAAGAGACUGUGUGGCCUAGGAGACUUAGAAAGAGACAUCGUAAUCUAAAAUACUUUCAUGAUUAAUAAGAAUGCAAUCUAAGAUAAUCUUGAAAAGUGGAUGAAAGAAAUGAAGCUAAUUAACUAAAACAUGCACUAGAAAAGUCGGCUCUUAUUCAGGUCAGGAACAAAUGGCAGGAACGGUUUACCUUCUUUUGACUCCCCAUCGCAUGUACUUGUGCAAUCCCCUUGAGUUUGUAAUUUUCUAUUCCAGAUGUUAACAAAUUUCAUUUUAACACUUGGCCUGAAUAGAGAAAUAUCAGGUCGUGUGAAUUACUAAAAUAUUUGAUUGAGAUAAUAUCAGAAAGAGACCCAACCCUCCCAAGAAAUUUGAUAACAUUACCUUUCAUCAGAGAACACACCCUUUACCACAUUUUGGGUGGAAAAUUGAGCACAUUGAUGGGAUGACUGAGUGGAAGCUCCACGCAGAUAGCUUCUGCAGAAUGAUGCAGUCUCCUUACAGCUCUAGAUUCUGCACGAUAGAAAAGAACAUUAAUUAGUUGCACAUAUUUUCUGUCAUAGUUGAUUAUUAACACAAAAAAGCACUCCAGGAGAAAUUACCUGGCAUGAGCACAUCAUAAACAGUUUAAAUGUUGUUAUUUCCUGCUGCCUUUCUUGAAGACUCAGUUGUGGCAAAGAACUUCUUGUCUUGGUAAAAUGGAGGAGCUGAAUGACUUCUUCUACUCUUCUUCUUCCUUAUAAGCUCAUCUGUUUUACCUCGAUUUCCUGCGACAAUCCAUUUAUGUGAGUCCCCAUCCACCCUAGAGGAGAACAUAGCUCGUGGUAGCAACUAAUUUUAAGAUUCUCUUCACCAAGAGAAAGCAUGUGUCAAAUCAUCUCAAUCAUAAUAGAAUUAAGAAGGACCUGAACUAUAAACAUCCCAUGGAUCAAGUCCCCUAUACUGGCCAUACCAGUUUGCCCAAUUACAAGUAAAACCUCAAACCAAAAAAAUGAAAGAACACCCGUAAAAAGAUACUAACAAACACAAACCGUCAAACAACUUAUCAGUUGAGGAAUGCAUGCAACCCUAUAGACUACGACAACCAUUCCAAGUUAUGAACAUAAUCAUUGUCAGUCCAAUAUUUUGCAAAAUGAUUACCAUAUCAUUCUCUCCUCAGCAUCUGUCCAUCUCGUGAGACACCAGAUCCUUCAAAAGAAAGUACCAACUUCAGGUGAUGAAGUAAAAUAAUAAAUUGAGCAGAAUUUUAUACAUAUCAAAAUGCAUUUAGAUCGACGUCAAAGAAACUAAUAGUUACCAUUGUCAUCCACCUUCACAAUUCAGGUCCCAAUGUCUAUAGCAACAGAUACCUGGUGGAAAAUAGAAACUGGGUUAAAGUUCAACUUAAGAGUACACAACUUAUAAGAAUAACGAGCAAAAAAAGAGCAGUCCUACAAGGGAGUAAAUCUCAUGGAGAAAAGAAAGUGUUGUUAUAUAAGAAUAUUCAUUUGGAAAAAAAAAACGCUUUGAUACUAGAAUUGAGCAUCAUACUAAGAGGAGAAAAAGUAUAUCAAUUUUCAUAUAAAGCAUAUGCCCUUGUAAUCAGAGGUAGCAAAAAUAGAAACAUAAGAAUUCAUUGAAGAGCCUCACUGAUCAGUGCCUUUUGUGCAAAUAGUCCAAGCUAUUAAAAUUGCAUUAAAGCACGACUUGCCAUAUUCUCAGCAGCCCACAUCUAUUGAUCCUCUAAACAUUAACAAAAUCAGAAAACAUAAAAUCCCCCAUUCUCUUACAUGACACAAUUUACAACUUAUAAGAAACAAUUGAAAUCAGAAAAUCUAGACCAUGUUCAUUUCAAAGAUGAAAAUAAGUCUAGACCAUGUAAAAGAAAAUGACCACUGAGGGUGUAUACGGAAGUCUGUCCAAUCGGGUGUCUUCAUUCAAAAUACUACAAAUCACUUCUUAUAAUUAAACUACUUAUUUUUUAAGAAUUGUGCCAGUGGGGCCUUCAACAAGAAAAACUCCACAUCUUUCCAUUCAUUGGCUUCAUAAUUCAGUUAUAAUUAAACCAAAAACAACACCACGAGUAUAUUCAUGACUUCAUAAUUCAAUUAUAUAAAAAGGUUCACCUCCAUGUGGCGAUCACUUUCAUCUUUGCCAGUGAAAGAAAGGCCAGCAUCUUCAAAUUGCUGCACCAUAUCAGGAUCCACCUACAUAGCACAGGAUAAGUUUUUAGCAUACAUCCCUUACUAAAGAAAUCACAUUUUAUGGUCUACAUAUAAUUAUUAAACCAGUCCACCUAGAUGUGCAAUAGUUACACCACAGUUCCAAAUUUAAAGAAAAAAAAAGGCGGUGAACCUCAUAUCUAUGACGGUGCCUCUCAUAUGCAAAGCUCCAGUUGCCAAAUCUGAGAAAGAUAUAGUUAAGCCACUUGGUAAUAUCAAUGGGAGAAAUCCUCCAGAAUGGCUUCAGAAACUUAUCAACAAGCAUGCCCAAUGUAUGCAAAAACAAUCUAUUAGGAAUUUCAAGAAAACCAGAGAGAAAAGCCAAAGAACCAUAUCAUUUUAAAAAAUACUUGGUCAGAAAUCAAAAAGUCAAUAAACAAAGUGUAGAAAAGAUGACUUAUCACAUCUCUUUAUCCAUCAAUUUGGGGCUGCAUAGGUUCACUGUUUAAACACCAGGACCUGAGAGUUAUCCUGAAAGUUCGAAUGCACCAACACUUGCAUUCAAUUUAUUAAGGGAACUCAGAUGAAUUCCAAACCCACUAGACAACAGCAGGUCAUCCUCACUGCAUGUAAAUGAACAAAAUCUAAGGAACUAGACAGGAAAUCCUUAAGUUAGGUGGUGUAUUAAAGACGAACCUUUCAAUAUCAACAAUUUUGAAGGAGGCACUGCGAUGCACAAGGGAGAUUCCUAGCAGACUCUUUUGGAGAAUGCAAGACCCUACUUGGACUUCAAGAUUAUAUAUGCACACCAAAAGAUCAAUCAGAUCAGAGUACAGCUUUAGAAGUAAAGUAUGUAAAGCAAUAUUUUUUACUUGUUUGAUUUUGAGAAAACUAGAAGAACUUGGAGUGCAUUUGCUUCCUUCGAACAGGUAAGUUGUAAAAUACAUCACGAACAAUUACUGCAAAAAGAAAAAACCCUAGAAAUUUCCUUAUUAGCCAGCAGCAGUCAACUCAAUUAUCAGGUAGGCUUAUACAAAAUCACCUGUUAUACCAACAUCUUGUCUAUAAUCAUCAAUUCCAAGGUACAAAACACUUGCCAUCCUGUUAACAAUGGCCAGAUAAAACUUCAAAGACCAGGUUAGUAGUUUUAUACCUAUCCUAAUGUCGACUACUUACUAUAACUCAAAAGAGUUUUACCUUCAAAACCUUACAAUAUCUAUUAGGCCUCCCAUGAGAUUUGGUAACAAUUCCAACAAAGAAAUAUCAGAAAUAGAGCUAAGAACCAACUUGUCACCACAAGAUAUUCUUGAAAAACACAUCAAAAUAGCUUCAUCAGAUUAACACAAUCAGUAUCAAUGGUGCCAGCAAAGGGAGUUAAAUGCUGCACAUAAUCUCUGCCAAAUUGAUUGCAUAUCUACCAUGGAACAAAAAUGAACAAGUGACAUGUUUUUCUUUUUUUGUGGCGAUUAGUCAAACCAAUCCUCUCUUAACCUACAUAUGGUACAACAAAGUAGGGGCAGGUGAUGACCAGCACUUUUAACAAAUAGCAUGUCAUUGAAGUCAAUAGUUUCCUAUCCAGUUCAUAGCAGAAUGUCUACAGAAUCAGACAAUGUAAUCAGUUGAAACAAAAAUCAGUAAUCCUAAAAAGUGCUACAGUUCUCAAGUUUGAUCUAGUCCAUGGUCUGCAGUCGAAAACUAAGAGAAACCAGAUGCAGUCCUCUGGUUACAUGUGCUCCCACUUCCUCCACUCAUCAAAGAGAUACAAGAAUUUUGUCACUUCCUCAGAGCCUAUUCUAGCUUUUCCUUAACCCCCUCAUUCUAAUUAAUGAUUUAUAGUAUUUAUUAAAACUGUUGGAGCAUUAGUGUAGGUGUUAAAUGUUCAAAUGAAGUUACUUCCUCUAAGAUCCAAGAUUAAUAUAUUUCUCUUUUUUUAUUACUCCAAAGAAUAGAAAAGAUACUAACUCAGUAACUCUAACCUGAAGGAGGGAAGUUGAUAUCUUUUGACAGAAAGGAUACAUAAAAAAGUAUACUCAUUCAAACUACUACAAAUCAAAGUUAGGCUACAAUUUUCCAUUUUUUAGAAACAAUCAAAAGUCAAAAAGUCUACAAUUGAGUGUCUUCAUUCAAAAUACUACAAAUCACAACUUACUUAUAAUUAAACAAAUUAAUUUUUUUAUAUAGUUGCGCAGUGGGUCCUUCAAGAACAACUCCACGUUCUUUUUUUCAAUUCCAGUUUCUCAGUUAAAAAAAUUCUUGAACAUCCUUAACAUACACUGACAGGAUGAAAACAUAACUUGCUUUUUUUAAAAAAAAAAAUUUGAAAAAAACAACUUGUUGAAAUUUUCUUAAAAGUUCAACAUGCAAAAUCGAUUUCUUGAAUUCCAACAUCCAAAAUCGAGUUCUUUGGAAGAAUAUCAAGAUAAUGAGAAGAGUACCAAUAGAUAGAUCAAUUGAUUUAGGGUUUAGGGUUUUGAUCGGACAUCAUCACUUGAACCAUCAAGAACAUCAACAAGUUCAAUGAACUUUUCUUAAAAAUUAAACGCAUAAUCGAAUUCUUGAAUUUUCCUCCUUUUUAAUGGAAGAAUUCCCAUGAAUCGUGAUAGAUUUUCCGAUAGCCGGUAGCUUAAAAGUUCCGACUCUUUUUCAAUAGGCGGUCGGAGGGGUGAGUUCUUAAAUGCGCACUAGGUACUCUAUUUUAUAGUUAUAGAACCAGUUAAUACACGCGGCUGAAAAAUAGAACGCGGAAAAAUAACUACUUAAUACAAUUAUUUUUUUAUGUUUUUUUAAUAAGAAAAAAUUAUUCAUUGAAUGUGAAAUUUGUUAUUAUCAUCAUAUAAAACUUAUGUAGUGGUUUUGAAUGGUUAUCCCAUAACAAAAUAUUGGACCAAAAAAAGGUCUGUCCUUGUUAACUUUGAAAUUCAAUACGAUUAGUAAUAAAUAAUUUCACCCACAUUAUUUUUGAAUUUUUUUUUUCCUACAGAAUUCUCUCAAAACAAACCCUAACAUAAAUACAUUUCAUAAAAACAAAUCCAAAGACCCACAUUCGUUUCCCAACCCCAAAACAAAUUGAAACAUAAAUCCCAACAAAAUAUCUCACCUUAAAUUUCUCAGAGGUAUUUGAAGGCUUCCAAGUCAAGUCAUAUAACGAUUUUGGAUAAUUUAGGUUCAACAAAAAUAGGGAUAUAUCUGAGAUCUACUUUGCUUCUCAAUGUUAGAAGAACUAUCAAAACACAUAGCUAUGUUGUUAAGUAGUCUAUGUAUUGGAGAGAAAAAUGAGAGACAUACCAAAUAUUAGCCUUAAGUCAAGUCAAGGAGAAUCCAUAAUGUUGAGAGUGUGAAACACGGCUAAUGAUAAUCACAAAAUUUAAAUGUUGAAUAAUACUUCUACUUAACAGUUAUGGUUAUCAUUUCAAAAACAGAAACGAACUCUAAUUAAAAUUAUAUACUUAUAUUAUUUAACUUGUGCAAAAUUUUAAUAGAAAGUUAUAUACUAAAUUAAUAUUUUAUACAUAUUAAAUUAAAUAGAUUUAAAAAAAAAUUAAAUAUAAGAAAAGUUGUAUAUUAGAACUGUAGAAGAAAAGUGUCCACGAGAAGACUUUAGUAUUCAAGAUAACGUAGACUUAGUGCUUCAGAAGCUCCGAUUCCGCUGCUAUAAAGAAAUGAAAUCUCUCAAACAGUUGGCGAUCUGAACAGAUUUCAUUUGCUAAAAAAUGUGGUGUAUGUCUUUUUGACAUCAGCUACAAAAAAAUACAUUCAACAAUUGGGACUAGGACAAAUAGCCCCCUAUUUCUACUUUUCAGUGAUGUGUAUUGAAUAAUGAGUCUCUCCUAACUAGAACUAGAAAGGUUACUUCUUUACAAAAUUGUGAAAGGAAAAGCCUCAGAACUUACUCAAGCGAGAAGUAAGAUUAAUGAACACAUCCUCACUACAAGGAAUUGUGACACCGCUCAUUGGAUGAUCAAAGCCAAAUUCUUCCUCAGCUUGACUAAGCAACUCUUGAAAUAAAGGUUGGCUCAAGAAUGAUCACAAAUCUCUUCUUUUGCUUCUCCCCAACAUAAACAGCAAAAUGGCCUUUCGGAACGUCUCCAGCUGUAGAAGUUAUCUUGAUCAUACGGAUUGCCAUGGUUGUGUUGUUCAAUAUAGAUGAAGAAAUAAGGAUCGGAAGAAUUAGUAAGGAAGAGAAAGGUUUGUGUGAUUUCAAGUUUUGGUGAGAGCUGUUAUGUGGUAUGUGUUUAUAUCAAGUUAUAGAAUUCUACUGAUGUGCAUUGAAUAGACAUUAUGUGGGCACCAGCUAAAGACAGUAGCACCUGAAGUAUAACAUGGUUCUGCCUUCCAACUCCUUGUCAUACUAUUUAUGCAAACUCUCAUGUGUCCACUUAUAUAAAAACUAGAAGAAAAAACAAAUCAAUCAUAUGUAAGAUUUAACUGGUGGAGAGGCAUUUGUUGUACUGCUGAUUGACAAUAGCACAUGGUUUUGCUACUCAACUCAUUGUCAUUGCUCUUGAAUAUCAGCAGUCCCUACACCCUAGUGUUUUUCAGGACAAGAUAGAGAAUAGAAGAUUUUUUUAAAUCAAUUUGAUAACUUUGAGUCAUUGUCAACACAGGUUCUUUUGAGAUAAUAACAGGUAAUUCCCAUUAGUAACAAAAUUUACUGCAAUCUUACCAUUAUGUAGGAUCAACUCCGUAUUCUAUCACAUUUAGUUGCACUCAGUACUGACACUAUACAUCUUGAGUUAUACCUCACCGCCGCUACCAAGUGCAGCUAGCUUCAUUUGAAACCAUUAAGUGUAAUUAUCACUUUUACCAAUUGAAUGAGUUAUGCCAAUUUAGGGGACCAGAUUCUAGUUCAUUCUGAUUAACAAAUGAUGAGAGUUGAGCAAAAAAAUUCUAUUGCAAUGAAUUGAUUACAUCAAUGUAUGGAAGUAAAAAGUUUCAUUACUUCAAUUUCUUUUGAAGUAGAAAAAUGUGUCCCUUAGUCUACCUAGUGUUUCUUCUAACUCUCAACUGUACACAGUGGAGUUCCUGGCUUACUACAACUAUACAAAAUUGUGUAACGAAAAAAUGGGGACUAGUUUCCUUCUCACUUCCUCAAUCGAGAUGUGAGAUCGAUGAACAAAUCCUCACUGCAGGGAAUAGUCACACCACCCAUUGGAUGGUCGAAGCCAAAUUCUUCCUCAGCUUGACUAAGCAAGUCUUGAAAUAAAGGUUCGCUCAAGAAUGAUAUGGGGAUCACAAAUCUCUUUUUCUGCAUCUCCCCAACAUACACAGCAAAAUGGCCCUUGGGAAUAUCUCUGGUUGCGG
Molecule: long non-coding RNA, 10153 nt
Filed under: Solanum tuberosum (potato)
Lineage: Eukaryota; Viridiplantae; Streptophyta; Magnoliopsida; Solanales; Solanaceae
Description: long non-coding RNA (STUB_LNC002467)
Source: RNAcentral